CACUGAUGAUUUGUUCUUCACUUCUUGAAAAUGGCUUACACAAGUGUUCAUUUUUGGAUAGUACUAAAAUUUGUUUCCAGGUAUUAGGAGGCAGAGUUCAAUCUAAAAAUCUUUUCAUGCUGUAUACACAUUAAAAGUUUACUCUAAUCCCUCCCGAAUGGACAGCUUGAUUCUGACCCCAAAUUUGGGUUCAUCAGUGCAAUGUUAGGCAAUAUUUGUUUGUUCACUCUUUCCUUUCCUCCAUGUACUUCCCAAGCUCCAAGGUUGUGGACCUUGGCAACUAUUCAGCAUGGAAAUAAGAUACCAGCUUCCCGUUCUGCCAAGUGGAUUUCUGAGUCAGUCAUUUGGAAGCCUUCCCCAGUGACUCUGAGUGGGUGAGAACAUUGCUGUCAUCUCUACACAUAAAUUCACCAUUGGAGAACUUUCUGUUCAACAAAUGUCUUGUUUCCUUUUUUUUUUUUUUAUUAGUACUAGGAAUUGAAUCUACGAGUACUCUAUCCACUGAACUACAUUCCCAGCCUUUUCUAUUUUAAGAAGGUCUUGAGAAGUUGCCAAGGCUGGCUUUGAACUUAUGAUCCUCCUGCCUCAGCUUCACAGGUACCUGGAAUUGUAGCUUUAUUGUCUACUAGGGAAAUGAGCAAUGGAUGAGCACUGGCUACCUUUUACUAUCCUGAGAGGAUAAAUUUCUGCCAUCAUAGGAGAGAACUAUCACCUGUGCCAACAGUUUUGAGGCUUUAGCUAAAAUUGGGAGAUGUCAGAAGUUUGUAACCUAACAUCCUUUAUGUUUGCAUGCAUUAAAAACUAUACUGAGAAAAGAAAAACAGGACUAUAUAUGGGAAUAAGAAAG
Molecule: long non-coding RNA, 847 nt
Filed under: Marmota monax (woodchuck)
Lineage: Eukaryota; Metazoa; Chordata; Mammalia; Rodentia; Sciuridae
Source: RNAcentral